Molecule: transfer RNA, 73 nt
Organism: Phascolarctobacterium sp.
Lineage: Bacteria; Bacillati; Bacillota; Negativicutes; Acidaminococcales; Acidaminococcaceae
Rfam family: tRNA
About the family: Transfer RNA (tRNA) molecules are approximately 80 nucleotides in length. Their secondary structure includes four short double-helical elements and three loops (D, anti-codon, and T loops).
Source: Rfam
GGCCCAUUAGCUCAGUUGGUAGAGCACCUGACUCUUAAUCAGGGUGUCGUAGGUUCGAGGCCUACAUGGGUCA